AUCAGUUAUCUGACAGUUCUGGAGACCAGAAACGCUAACAUCAAGCUGUAGGCCGGUUCCCGCCUUGCCCAGCGUCUAGAGGCGCCCCCAUCCCUCCACUCAGGGCCCCUUUCUCCCCCUUCACAGCCUCAGCGCAGCCUCUUCCCGUUUCUCUCUGACUCCCACCCUCCCGUCUCCUCUCGUGAGGCUGCCACGAGGACCCUCUCCUGUCUCAGCGUCCUGCCCUC
Molecule: long non-coding RNA, 227 nt
Filed under: Homo sapiens (human)
Lineage: Eukaryota; Metazoa; Chordata; Mammalia; Primates; Hominidae
Description: HSALNT0254354
Source: RNAcentral